GGGCUUGACAUCCCACGAACCUGGAAACAGGGAUUUCCCCUUCGGGGGACCGGGAGACAGGUGCUGCAUGGCUGUCGUCAGCUCGUGUCGUGAGAUGUUGGGUUAAGUCCCGCAACGAGCGCAACCCUCGUCCUCUGUUGCCAUCACGUUAUGGUGGGCACUCUGAGGAGACUGCCGGUGACAAACCGGAGGAAGGUGGGGAUGACGUCAAGUCAGCAUGGCCUUUAUGUCUGGGGCCACACACGUGCUACAAUGGCCGGUACAAACCGUUGCGAUCCCGCGAGGGGGAGCUAAUCGGAGAAAGCCGGUCUCAGUUCGGAUCGUAGGCUGCAACUCGCCUGCGUGAGGUCGGAAUCGCUAGUAAUCGCGGAUCAGCACGCCGCGGUGAAUACGUUCCCGGGCCUUGUACACACCGCCCGUCACACCACGAAAGCCAGCUGUACUCGAAGUCGCUGAG
RNAcentral lists this ribosomal RNA (457 nucleotides) under uncultured Methylomirabilota bacterium. Its description in RNAcentral is "bacterial SSU rRNA". It matches the Rfam family "Bacterial small subunit ribosomal RNA", at positions 977 to 1434 of the family's 1533-position model. The record is from RNAcentral. Lineage: Bacteria; Methylomirabilota (SeqCode).